Molecule: long non-coding RNA, 408 nt
Filed under: Apteryx rowi (Okarito brown kiwi)
Lineage: Eukaryota; Metazoa; Chordata; Aves; Apterygiformes; Apterygidae
Description: lncRNA (ENSARWG00000013573.1)
Source: RNAcentral
UAUCAUCAAAGAUUCUUGGGCAAAGUCAGCCUCCAUUGUAACUCCCUAGGCUUUGGAAACAAUUGAGCUAACCACCCUGUUGUGAUUUUAUGAUACACAAUCUGGAAAAAACAUGUCUUUUGACUAAAAUGGAAAAGAAUCAGUGAGCUGCAGCCCAGCGAUGGAGAGCAAUCCUGUAUGACAAAUCACCAUGCACUCCAAGUAAUGGAGGGGAAAGAAUGAGAAGAAGAGAGCGAGCUUUGUUUUGAAGCUUCCAGCAGGUAGCUAUGUACCAGAUCUGAUUUGUACCUGCAAGCGCAUCUGUGUGGUUCAAAAUUUGGGCCCUGCUGUCGUAGUACCCAGAGCACCUCCAGACCUCAGUGUAUGGAAGCUCAGCUCCCCAUGAAGCAGAGGUGUGCUCUAUUUUUC